RNAcentral lists this ribosomal RNA (404 nucleotides) under uncultured bacterium. RNAcentral's name for it is "bacterial SSU rRNA". It matches the Rfam family "Bacterial small subunit ribosomal RNA", at positions 355 to 776 of the family's 1533-position model. The record is from RNAcentral.
UAGGGAAUAUUGCACAAUGGAGGAAACUCUGAUGCAGCGAUGCCGCGUGAGUGAAGAAGGCCCUUGGGUCGUAAAGCUCUUUUAUGGGGGAAGAUGAUGACGGUACCCCAGGAAUAAGCACCGGCUAACUACGUGCCAGCAGCCGCGGUAAUACGUAGGGUGCGAGCGUUGUUCGGAAUUACUGGGCGUAAAGGGCGCGCAGGCGGAGGUGCAAGUCGGAGGUGAAAGCCCGGGGCUCAACCCCGGAGGGUCUUUCGAAACUGCAUCUCUAGAGAGGGUCAGGGGCCGGCAGAAUUCCUGGUGUAGAGGUGAAAUUCGUAGAUAUCAGGAGGAAUACCGGUGGCGAAAGCGGCCGGCUGGGGCCACUCUGACGCUGAGGCGCGAAAGCGUGGGGAGCAAACAGG